Long non-coding RNA from Humulus lupulus (European hop), 276 nucleotides. RefSeq lists it as uncharacterized. Lineage: Eukaryota; Viridiplantae; Streptophyta; Magnoliopsida; Rosales; Cannabaceae. The transcript has 3 exons. The record is from RefSeq and is a predicted model, not a curated record.
CAGUGUGUUUCUGAUUGGGAUGAUCGUGAAAAUAAGUUUAUUGAAGUUGAUGGAAUUCUGAGAAGACAGAUAAAGAUGUCUCUUAUUCCUAGUGUGCAACCUUUCCAUGCAAUAGCCUAUUCAAUUGAUCCAAUGCUUGCACUGGAGAUAAGUCGUAAAUAUGUUGCACACUGCUCUGUCAUUGCAUCUCGUUAUUCUCUUCCUUCGUUCAAUUAUCCAGCAGCCUUGCCCAUAAAGAGCGAAGGUGGAAGUAAAAGGCUAAGGGUCGGGUAAGUU